Molecule: ribosomal RNA, 517 nt
Filed under: uncultured beta proteobacterium
Lineage: Bacteria; Pseudomonadati; Pseudomonadota; Betaproteobacteria
Description: bacterial SSU rRNA
Rfam family: Bacterial small subunit ribosomal RNA
Source: RNAcentral
AACUCAAAGGAAUUGACGGGGACCCGCACAAGCGGUGGAUGAUGUGGUUUAAUUCGAUGCAACGCGAAAAACCUUACCUACCCUUGACAUGUCUGGAAUCCUGAAGAGAUUUGGGAGUGCUCGAAAGAGAGCCAGAACACAGGUGCUGCAUGGCCGUCGUCAGCUCGUGUCGUGAGAUGUUGGGUUAAGUCCCUCAACGAGCGCAACCCUUGUCAUUAGUUGCUACGAAAGGGCACUCUAAUGAGACUGCCGGUGACAAACCGGAGGAAGGUGGGGAUGACGUCAGGUCAUCAUGGCCCUUAUGGGUAGGGCUACACACGUCAUACAAUGGCCGGGACAGAGGGCUGCCAACCCGCGAGGGGGAGCUAAUCCCAGAAACCCGGUCGUAGUCCGGAUCGUAGUCUGCAACUCGACUGCGUGAAGUCGGAAUCGCUAGUAAUCGCGGAUCGGCUUGCCGCGGUGAAUACGUUCCCGGGUCUUGCACACACCGCCCGUCGGUGUGCACACACCGCCCGUC